RNAcentral lists this long non-coding RNA (1037 nucleotides) under Marmota monax (woodchuck). Lineage: Eukaryota; Metazoa; Chordata; Mammalia; Rodentia; Sciuridae. The record is from RNAcentral.
GGGAUCGAACCCAGGGCCUCAUGCAUGCUAGGCAAGCGCUCUACUACUGAGGCACAACCCCAUCCCCCAAAAGCUCUUCUUAAUGCAAGAAUUUUCAAAGGUGAAAUGAUAAGAUUUCAAGAGCUGCAACUGGAUCCCUCCAUCCUCGUUUGAAUGGACUGACUGGGGGGUGGGGUGUGGCUGGCAGAGUUUGGUCACUGGGGUUGUGUCGGGGAUAGUUUGUUUCUACCACUGCAUCCCCCUUCUCUCUGCUUCAUGAUCCUGCCUUGAGCUGAGCAACUUUGCUGAGCUGCUCUCCCAUGAUCUUCUGCCUCACCUUAAGCCCACAGCAAUAGACAAAGUCGUGUAUAAACUGAACCUCUGAAACUGGGAGCCCCAAAUAAACUUUUGCCCUUCUCAAUUGUUCUCAUCGAGUAUUUUGGUCAUAGUAGUAAAAGGCUAAAACACUGCUUUUUCAUGUCAAUGGGAAUAAGAACAUUUCUGCUAUCAGGCCAUCUUCUGACAGUGCUGAGCAUGGCUCAGUGACAUAACUCUUGGCCAGGUUCCAGGGUCAGAAGCCUGUUUUUGCUCUUUCCUGUACUACUAAUGUGCUAAUAGAAAACUUAGCGUCCAGAAGUGCUCCUUGAAUAGGUUCUUCCUCCUCUUUGACAACUCUUUGCAAAUGUUCACUUAGUACAGUACAUGAGGUACUGCGCAGAUGGAGUUGUCUCAGGUAAGGUUAGACACAGACUGAGAUAGUGGCCUGAAACUGGAUGUGGAUGCAGUUGGCUAGUAAGGAAUGUGGCAGCAGAUGUAGGCACGGCCACCAAGCAUAUUCACAUCUGGGAACAAUGAAUUUUUGGUUUACCUUGACUUACACUUUGAAAACUCCUUUGUGGCUAGGAAACGACUAUGUACUGAUGUAUCAAGUUGAGUCAUUUCAGCUGCUGGACAGCUCUAUAGAUGGACUGUUCUUGGGUUGUUCAAUAGAGUUUCCCCAGAUUGAGUGCAGGGAAGAUAAAUUUUAAGGUGCUAACUUUCACAAAACUGUAUUGUCA